RNAcentral lists this ribosomal RNA (264 nucleotides) under uncultured bacterium. RNAcentral's name for it is "partial 16S ribosomal RNA". It matches the Rfam family "Bacterial small subunit ribosomal RNA", at positions 524 to 785 of the family's 1533-position model. The record is from RNAcentral.
CACGUAGGGCGCGAGCGUUGUCCGGAAUUAUUUGGGCGUAAAGAGCUCGUAGGCGGCCUGUUGCGCCCGCUGUGAAAGCCCGGGGCUUAACCCCGGGUCGGCAGUGGAUACGGGCAGGCUAGAGGUAGGUAGGGGAGAAUGGAAUUCCCGGUGUAGCGGUGAAAUGCGCAGAUAUCGGGAGGAACACCGGUGGCGAAGGCGGUUCUCUGGGCCGUUACCUGACGCUGAGGAGGCGAAAGCGUGGGGAGCGAACAGGAUAGAUAC